Molecule: ribosomal RNA, 425 nt
Filed under: uncultured bacterium
Lineage: Bacteria
Description: partial 16S ribosomal RNA
Rfam family: Bacterial small subunit ribosomal RNA
Source: RNAcentral
GUGGGGAAUCUUAGACAAUGGGCGCAAGCCUGAUCUAGCCAUGCCGCGUGAGCGAUGAAGGCCUUAGGGUUGUAAAGCUCUUUCGCUGGGGAAGAUAAUGACUGUACCCAGUAAAGAAGCCCCGGCUAACUCCGUGCCAGCAGCCGCGGUAAUACGGAGGGGGCUAGCGUUGUUCGGAAUUACUGGGCGUAAAGCGCGCGUAGGCGGAUUGGAAAGUUGGGGGUGAAAUCGCGGGGCUCAACCUCGGAACUGCCUUCAAAACUCCUAGUCUUGAGUUCGAGAGAGGUGAGUGGAAUUCCGAGUGUAGAGGUGAAAUUCGUAGAUAUUCGGAGGAACACCAGUGGCGAAGGCGGCUCACUGGCUCGAUACUGACGCUGAGGUGCGAAAGCGUGGGGAGCAAACAGGAUUAGAUACCCGAGUAGUCC